ACUAAGCGUACACGGUGGAUGCCUUGGCAGUUGGAGGCGAUGAAGGACGUACUAACUUGCGAUAAGCCUAGUCAAGCCAGUAAGAGGCGCUUGAGACUAGGAUUUCCGAAUGGGGAAACCCACCUGCUUGCAGGUAUCGUUAACUGAAUACAUAGGUUAACGAGGCGAACGCGGAGAACUGAAACAUCUAAGUACCCGUAGGAAAAGAAAUCAACCGAGAUUCCGAAAGUAGCGGCGAGCGAAAUCGGACCAGCCCUUAAGCUUUAGUGUAGUUAGUGGAACAUGCUGGAAAGCAUGACGAAACAGGGUGAUAGUCCCGUACACAAAAACUUAUCUAAAGUGAAAUCGAGUAGGUCGGAGCACGUGAAACUUUGACUGAAUAUGGGGGGACCAUCCUCCAAGGCUAAAUACUCCCAACUGACCGAUAGUGAACCAGUACCGUGAGGGAAAGGCGAAAAGAACCCCUGUGAGGGGAGUGAAAUAGAACCUGAAACCGUGUACGUACAAGCAGUAGGAGCCUACUUGUUGGGUGACUGCGUACCUUUUGUAUAAUGGGUCAGCGACUUAUAUUCUGUAGCGAGGUUAACCAUUUAGGGGAGCCGUAGCGAAAGCGAGUCUUAACUGGGCGCUUAAGUUGCAGGGUAUAGACCCGAAACCCGGUGAUCUAGCCAUGGGCAGGUUGAAGGUUGAGUAACAUCAACUGGAGGACCGAACCCACUAACGUUGAAAAGUUAGGGGAUGACCUGUGGCUAGGAGUGAAAGGCUAAUCAAACCGGGAGAUAGCUGGUUCUCCCCGAAAUCUAUUUAGGUAGAGCCUCGGACGAAUACUUACGGGGGUAGAGCACUGUUAAGGCUAGGGGGUCAUCCCGACUUACCAACCCUUUGCAAACUCCGAAUACCGUAAAGUAAUAUCCGGGAGACACACGGCGGGUGCUAACGUCCGUCGUGGAGAGGGAAACAACCCAGACCGUCAGCUAAGGUCCCAAAGUGUAUGUUAAGUGGGAAACGAUGUGGGAAGGCUAAAACAGCUAGGAGGUUGGCUUAGAAGCAGCCACCCUUUAAAGAAAGCGUAAUAGCUCACUAGUCGAGUCGGCCUGCGCGGAAGAUGUAACGGGGCUAAACAUACCACCGAAGCUACGGCUGCGAACUUAGUUCGCGGGGUAGGGGAGCGUUCUGUAAGUGGCUGAAGGUGUGCCGGGAGGCAUGCUGGACAUAUCAGAAGUGCGAAUGCUGACAUGAGUAACGACAAGAGGAGUGAAAAACUCCUCCGCCGGAAGACCAAGGGUUCCUAUCCCAUGUUAAUCAGGGUAGGGUGAGUCGACCCCUAAGGCGAGGCUGAAGAGCGUAGUCGAUGGGAAACGGGUUAAUAUUCCCGUACUCGGUAUGAAUGCGAUGGGGGGACGGAGCAGGCUAGGCAAGCAUGGCGUUGGUUGUCCAUGUGAAAGGCUGUAGGCUGGUGACUUAGGAAAAUCCGGGUUGCCAAGGCUGAGAGUCGAGACGAGCCACUAAGGUGGUGAAGUUGUUGAUGCCCUACUUCCAGGAAAAGCCUCUAAGCUUCAGUUCAUACUGAAUCGUACCCUAAACCGACACAGGUGGUCAGGUAGAGAAUACUAAGGCGCUUGAGAGAACUCGGGUGAAGGAACUAGGCAAAAUUGUACCGUAACUUCGGGAGAAGGUACGCUCUUGUUUGUGAAGGACUUGCUCUGUAAGCAAACGAGAGCCGCAGUGACCAGGUGGCUGGGACUGUUUAUUAAAAACACAGCACUGUGCAAAAUCGUAAGAUGACGUAUACGGUGUGACACCUGCCCGGUGCCGGAAGGUUAAUUGAUGGGGUUAGCUUAGGCGAAGCUCUUGAUCGAAGCCCCGGUAAACGGCGGCCGUAACUAUAACGGUCCUAAGGUAGCGAAAUUCCUUGUCGGGUAAGUUCCGACCUGCACGAAUGGUGUAACCAUGGCCACGCUGUCUCCACCCGAGACUCAGUGAAAUUGAAAUCGCAGUGAAGAUGCUGUGUACCCGCGGCUAGACGGAAAGACCCCGUGAACCUUUACUACAGCUUGGCACUGAACAUUGACCCUACAUGUGUAGGAUAGGUGGGAGGCUUUGAAGCAGAGACGCUAGUUUCUGUGGAGCCGACCUUGAAAUACCACCCUUGUAGUGUUGAUGUUCUAACUUAGGCCCCUGAAUCGGGGUUGAGGACAGUGCCUGGUGGGUAGUUUGACUGGGGCGGUCUCCUCCCAAAGAGUAACGGAGGAGCACGAAGGUUUGCUAAGUACGGUCGGACAUCGUACGGUUAGUGUAAUGGUAGAAGCAAGCUUAACUGCGAGACAGACACGUCGAGCAGGUACGAAAGUAGGUCAUAGUGAUCCGGUGGUUCUGAAUGGAAGGGCCAUCGCUCAACGGAUAAGGUCAGCAGUUCGAUCCUGCUUAGCUCCACCACUUUACUACUCCUUCUUAUAGAUAAACACUCUUGCUCAGGUUCAAGUAACUGAGAGUUUUUAACUCUGAGAAGUUAUUCUCUUGCUCUUUAAAAAUUUGGAAAAGCUGAAAAAUUAAAUUCUGAUAGAUAACGUAAAGUUAUUUAUCGAGUUUUCGAAAGAAAAUGCCGAUUAAUCGUUUUAAUGAUUAAUUAGCGUCUACUUUAGUAUUCAAUAUUAACUUCUGGCGAAGUUAAAUCAGUCUUUGAUUGACAACGCAAUGUGUCAUAGAAAAAUAAAG
Molecule: ribosomal RNA, 2715 nt
Filed under: Pseudoalteromonas piscicida
Lineage: Bacteria; Pseudomonadati; Pseudomonadota; Gammaproteobacteria; Alteromonadales; Pseudoalteromonadaceae
Description: bacterial LSU rRNA
Rfam family: Bacterial large subunit ribosomal RNA
Source: RNAcentral